UAUAAUGUCUAUGGUGAAGUCUUUUGUACAGUGGUUAGUAAUUUCUGAAGGAGAUGCUGCCAAUCCCCCCCGCGCCUGCGAAGCGCAGCGGCUCUAGCGUUUGCUGCCAAUUGAUGGGGCAAAUGAUCUCUUUUUUCAGCCACCUCCACUGACUCCUACCUCCAAAGUUUAUACUAUCAGACCUUAUUUUCCUAAAGAUGAGGCAUCCGUGUACAAGAUUUGCAGAGAAAUGUAUGACGAUGGAGUGGGUUUACCCUUUCAAAGUCAGCCUGAUCUUAUUGGAGACAAGUUAGUAGGAGGGCUGCUUUCCCUCAGCCUGGAUUACUGCUUUGUCCUAGAAGAUGAAGAUGGCAUAUGUGGUUAUGCCUUGGGCACUGUAGAUGUGACCCCCUUUAUUAAAAAAUGUAAAAUUUCCUGGAUACCCUUCAUGCAGGAGAAGUAUACCAAGCCAAAUGGUGACAAGGAACUCUCUGAGGCUGAGAAAAUAAUGUUGAGUUUCCAUGAAGAACAGGAAGUACUGCCAGAAACUUUCCUUGCUAAUUUCCCUUCUCUGAUAAAGAUGGACAUUCACAAAAAAGUAACUGACCCAAGUGUGGCCAAAAGCAUGAUGGCUUGCCUCCUGUCUUCACUGAAGGCUAAUGGCUCCCGGGGAGCUUUCUGUGAAGUCAGACCAGAUGAUAAAAGAAUUCUGGAAU
Molecule: small RNA, 695 nt
Filed under: Pongo abelii (Sumatran orangutan)
Lineage: Eukaryota; Metazoa; Chordata; Mammalia; Primates; Hominidae
Description: processed transcript
Source: RNAcentral